AUGCAACCUUCUUCUUCCAAUAAACUUUCUACCUGCACAUCAUCAUCCACCAAUCUCCCCCCACUUUUUUGUUAUUUCUCUGAAAUUAUGAUUGGCAUAUAUUUUGGUAAAAUAUAUUUUGGCAGCAGCAUGUUGAAUAAGAUGUUCCACCUUUAUGUUUUCAACAUGCCGAGUAAGAUGUCCCAACUAAGAGAUACGACAUCACGUCUGCAGUAG
Non-coding RNA from Vicia faba (fava bean), 216 nucleotides. The record is from the annotation of a GenBank genome assembly. NCBI's taxonomy places the organism in Eukaryota, Viridiplantae, Streptophyta, Magnoliopsida, Fabales, Fabaceae.